This 615-nucleotide unclassified non-coding RNA is filed under the name Athalia rosae (coleseed sawfly). RNAcentral's name for it is "misc RNA ENSAEAG00005000330.1". The record is from RNAcentral. Lineage: Eukaryota; Metazoa; Arthropoda; Insecta; Hymenoptera; Athaliidae.
UCUGGAGCCGCGUGAAAAUACUCAACCCUUUUCGGCUGUACGUUGAUGUGCGACAAACCAGCUCUGCAGGGAAAGGACUACUGCGGAUUUUACGUGAAAGGAAAACGAAAAAUCCGGGAAACGAUUUUCCCCCACUACGGCCUCCCGUACAUCCAUCCUCCGACGCUUCCGUGCGCAGCUCCUGAGGGAUCGUAAAUCUUGUCGGUAUACGUCCGAAGGUUGGGGAGGUUCGCCUCGGGCCCGGUGGACCGUAUCCGGGAUUGGCGGCUCUCGGAUCCACCCUCUUCAGUUUCGGGUACUAAUAUGCGAUGUAGAAAAUAACCGGCCGACGCCUUUUUACCUGGAAAGCUACGAAAUCAUUGGGCCCCGAGUAAAAGCAAAACGACUCGUAACCGGCGUCCUCUUUUGCCGAGGACAUGGCGCGACCGGACGAACCACAAAGCUAGGUAUAAAAGCUGAAUAUGGUGUAUUCAUUUUACAUCGAUAGCUCAGAACCAGAAGGUCGUAUCCCUCGAAAUGAAUUCUCACAACGACCGUGAUCUUAACCAUCCUGCGAUGAACGGAGAAGAAAAUUUAUGAAGAAACUUUACAAUUAUUUAAUAGCUAUGCAAAAAG